UGAGAAUUUGAGCCCUGCAAUAUGUUCAGACUUAAGUAUAAAUCUUGUUAUUUCACCAUUUUUUAAUUGCAGUAAAUCCAGCUAGUAUUAUUUAAUGCCAUUUUCACCAUAAUUACUAGGGGGGAAAGUAGCAUAAGUAUUCAUCCCCUUUGAACUUCUCAAUUCAGUAUUCAUCCCCUUUUGAACGAUCUCAAAUUAUUUCUUCAUGUUCCUGAAAGAACCCAGAGUUAGUUAGAGAACAUACCUAAACACGUCUGGGACAAAGUUCUGAAAGAAAAGCUAUCAAUCAGGGUUUGGUUGAAGGAGGUGUGGCCUUUGUAUCUGUCAGUCAAAGUGAAGGCGGCGUGGCCUUUCUAUCUGUCAGUCAGCAUGAAGGAGGUGUGGCCUUUGUAUCUGUCAGUCAGCAUGAAGGAGGUGUGGCCUUUUUAUCUGUCAGUCAGGAUGAAGGAGGUGUGGCCUUUGUAUCUGUCAGUCAAACUGAAGGAGGUGUGGCCUUUGUAUCUGUCAGUCAAAGUGAAGCAGUUGUUGCCUUUGUAUAUGUCAGUCAGAGUGAAGGAGGUGUGGCCUUUAUAUCUGUCAGUCAGAGUGAAGGAGGUGUGGCCAUUGUAUCUGUCAGUCAAAGUGAAGGAGGUGUGGCCUUUGUAUCUGUCAGUCCCACAAGGCAUGGCCUCUGUGUGAUCAACCAUGUUUGGUUUUUGAAGUUUCUUUUUCUUUUUUCUUUUUAUUGUAGCUAUAUGGCUAAAUACGAACUAAACUGCACCGUGUAGCUAAAGUUUUCAGAUUGACUCUGUAAUUUUUUAAUAUGUAAUUAAUUAAUAUUAUUAUUAUUAUUUUUUUUUUUACAAAGUACUAAGGCCUUUGCAGUCUCUCACUUCGGUAAAGAUGCUACACUGAUAAUGAUUUUACCGGCUGUGGAAUAAAUUUACAUCACUAAAACAUUAUUUUUAAAUGUUUGACCAGCUGUGAACGCAUCACCACACACACGUCCACAGGGUCUUAAUAUCCGCCUGUUUCCUUCCUCUCCUUUAAACUCCUCCACAGAUUUAGAGAAACAACCCAUAAUCCUCUUCCGCUUUUGGGACAGGGCUGAAAUCGGCGUGGCGAUUAUGUAGCAGAAAUUGGCUUUGUGUCCCUGCAGAGAGACGCACACUCACACACACUCCAGAAACACUCCCACCUUUAAACAUGGACAAACAGAGGGAUUAAGGGACAUUUUUGUACAAUACAACUCCUUACACAGCAG
This is a long non-coding RNA of Ictalurus punctatus (channel catfish), 1243 nucleotides long. The record is from Ensembl. NCBI's taxonomy places the organism in Eukaryota, Metazoa, Chordata, Actinopteri, Siluriformes, Ictaluridae.